This is a long non-coding RNA of Populus euphratica (Euphrates poplar), 674 nucleotides long. RefSeq lists it as uncharacterized. The transcript is spliced from 3 exons. The record is from RefSeq and is a predicted model, not a curated record. NCBI's taxonomy places the organism in Eukaryota, Viridiplantae, Streptophyta, Magnoliopsida, Malpighiales, Salicaceae.
AAGGAGCCCUAGAGGCAGCCAAAUAGUGAUGUGUAAUAUAAUAUCAUGCCUACUGGCUAUAAGGGGGGGGGGACCUCUGCAAUAUAUUAGUGAUUGUUAUCAUUAGCAGGUGUGUAAUUUAAUAUCUUACUUCUGGUGUUUUUCCAAUUUCUUUAGGGAUGGCAGCAUAAGCUAGAUCCAGAAUACAAUGUGAUGCAAACAUUACAAACACUGCUUCUUCAAGCUGACUGGGCUAAGUCUCUUUCGUAUACAAUUGAUGGGUUGAUGGCCCCAUAAGCAGGAUACGAGUGAACGUGUGACUAGUGAUAGAUGAAAUUCGGAUUUAUUGAGAUGCCCCCCAACAGUAGCAGAUGAAGAUUCACUAGUAGUUUCACUUUGAGCAGCUUUAAUGUUCUUAAAUACUGCAAUGCAAUCUGGAUUGUUUUAAAAGGUUCGCCGGAGUUUCAAGAUGCCCCAAUGUACCCCCGUGGUCUGUGUCUGCAGGGACCAUUAACUUCCCUGUAUGGAGGAAAGUUUAAUAUAUAGGUGAUGGCUUUCCUAUUUAGGUAUGGUAGUGUCUUUAAAGGAGGAAGAAAAAUCUAGGACACGGAGGACGUGUUAUUAAUUUAAUAAAAAGAAUAUAAGAAAAGUCAAUGCUCAACUGAAAAAAAAAAAAUUAAUCGUGAAAAUAUAAA